UUUUACUACUCUUUACUGGGAAAUGAUGUUACAAAUGAACCCUUCAAUGAUUUAAUCAACCCAAACUUUGAGCCAGAGAGAGCAUCAGUUCGCAUCCGUAGCAGUGUAGAAAUUCUUCGUGUUUACCUGGCUCUUCAGUCUAAACUGCAGAUUCACCUCUGCUGUGGAGACCAGUCACUUGGAAGUACAGAAAUACCUUUAACUGGAUUACUUAAAAAGGGCAGUACAGAAAUCAACCAGCACCCAGUCACAGUCGAAGGUGCUUUUACCCUUGACCCUCCAAACAGAGCCAAACAGAAGCUUGCACCUAUUCCUGUGGAGCUAGCCCCAACUGUGGGAGUGUCUGUGGCUCUGCAGAGAGAAGGCAUAGACUCCCAGGCAAGUAGUGGCCCUCCUUCAUUCCCCUGGCUUCACUAGUCCCACGCAUGAUUACUUACAAAAGUUGAAUUUCAGAAGAGUUACCUUCAUAAGGAUAUAUUUAUUAAUCUUAAUUAGUGACCUUUGUUAUAUGAUACCUCCUUUCUGAAAAGUGCUGUGACUUCUGUUAUGGUUUAUAAGUGAUUCUACCCAGAGCCCUCU
Molecule: small RNA, 579 nt
Filed under: Pan troglodytes (chimpanzee)
Lineage: Eukaryota; Metazoa; Chordata; Mammalia; Primates; Hominidae
Description: retained intron
Source: RNAcentral